Non-coding RNA from Podarcis lilfordi (Lilford's wall lizard), 78 nucleotides. The record is from the annotation of a GenBank genome assembly. Lineage: Eukaryota; Metazoa; Chordata; Lepidosauria; Squamata; Lacertidae.
UUGAAGAAUAGCUCAGCUGGUAGAGCACGAGACUCUUAAUCUCAGGGUUGUGGGUUUGAGCCCUACAUUGGGGAAAAG